RNAcentral lists this ribosomal RNA (254 nucleotides) under uncultured bacterium. RNAcentral's name for it is "partial 16S ribosomal RNA". It matches the Rfam family "Bacterial small subunit ribosomal RNA", at positions 524 to 776 of the family's 1533-position model. The record is from RNAcentral.
UACGUAGGGUGCGAGCGUUGUCCGGAAUUAUUGGGCGUAAAGAGCUCGUAGGCGGUGUGUCGCGUCGGUCGUGAAAACUUGGGGCUUAACCCUGAGCUUGCGGUCGAUACGGGCAUCACUGGAGUUCGGCAGGGGAGACUGGAAUUCCUGGUGUAGCGGUGAAAUGCGCAGAUAUCAGGAGGAACACCGGUGGCGAAGGCGGCACUCUGGGCUGGAACUGACGCUGAGGAGCGAAAGCGUGGGUAGCAAACAGG